GUGGGGAAUCUUGCGCAAUGGGCGAAAGCCUGACGCAGCCAUGCCGCGUGAAUGAUGAAGGUCUUAGGAUUGUAAAAUUCUUUCACCGGGGACGAUAAUGACGGUACCCGGAGAAGAAGCUCCGGCUAACUUCGUGCCAGCAGCCGCGGUAAUACGAAGGGGGCUAGCGUUGCUCGGAAUUACUGGGCGUAAAGGGCGCGUAGGCGGACAGCUUAGUCAGAGGUGAAAGCCCAGGGCUCAACCUUGGAAUUGCCUUUGAUACUGGCUGUCGUGAGUUUGGGAGAGGUGAGUGGAACUCCGAGUGUAGAGGUGAAAUUCGUAGAUAUUCGGAAGAACACCAGUGGAGAAGGCGACUCACUGGCCCAAUACUGACGCUGAGGCGCGAAAGCGUGGGGAGCAAACAGGAUUAGAUACCCGUGUAGUCC
RNAcentral lists this ribosomal RNA (425 nucleotides) under uncultured bacterium. RNAcentral's name for it is "partial 16S ribosomal RNA". It matches the Rfam family "Bacterial small subunit ribosomal RNA", at positions 354 to 796 of the family's 1533-position model. The record is from RNAcentral.